GGCAGGGUGACAGCUGCCCAGAGCUGGAGGUGCCCCAGGCUGUGGAUGAGCCCUGGGCAGCCUGAGCUGGGGGGGAGGAAGCAGCCCAUGGCAGGGAUGGGGCUGUGAGAUCCCUUCCAACCCAACCAUGCUGUGAUUCAGUGACGACCCCGUGAUUCCUUGAAUACAGGAGAAAAGCAUCAGUUUGAAACCCCUACAGGUGGUGACGUUGAGACAGAUGUAGAAUGUUAACGGUGCUGCUCGUGAAGACAACAGUUUUUCAUCCAAGGCAUGAAGCCUACAGAGAGGUAUCCUGCAAGAGCUUGGCUGCUCCGGCACACGGUGUUUGUGAUGUCUGGACCUGACGUAUUAGCAACAACACAACAGAGCUCGCUGCUGUCAGUGAAUUUCAGAGAGCAAGAGGCUGCCUUGAGAAGAAUAUAGAUGGGGUCCACAUCCAUAACAUGGGAGAAGGUUUAAGAAUAACGUAUUGGAAAAUGGUUUCAGAUCAUUUCACAGCGGGAAAGCCCACGGAUUCAGAAGAAUUGUGCAGAAGGGCUCCACAUCACACACGUGGCUGGGAAGCUGGUACAUGGCAUCACGGCUCAGAAGGUCGGGGAAAAUUAUCAUAAUCUGCUGCUCCAGCUUCUGGAAUAAAAGCCUGUUAAUGCCUGGAUGAAUUGGAGAACAUUUUUCAGACGGAGAUCAAACUUCCACCACGUUAUUCCUUACAACAUUAUUAUAAUAGUUAGAGAAUUUUAUUUCCCUGUCCCUGAACAUUUUCAUAACUGAAGAUGAUGGAAGACUUUGACAGCAGUGGAAAGCUAUUGUUCUUUUCUAUUUGUUGCAAAUUAAACAUACUAUGCAGCUCCACUUUCAGUAAUGUAAGGACUAAUUGAACCUCUCAAGAGAAACCAUUAACUUUGAGUUAGCUGUUGUUGGCUUUGUUAUUUUGGCACAGCUGUUCAGAGCAGAACAUGUGCUGUCACUACAUCCAUUGGUAUACUGACGGAGGGAAGAGGAUCAG
Long non-coding RNA from Gallus gallus (chicken), 1006 nucleotides. NCBI's taxonomy places the organism in Eukaryota, Metazoa, Chordata, Aves, Galliformes, Phasianidae. The record is from Ensembl.